GCGCCCGUAGCUCAGUUGGUAGAGCUGCUCCCUCUUAAGGAGAAGGUCGUUGGUUCGACUCCAACCGGGCGGACUA
This 76-nucleotide transfer RNA is filed under the name Candidatus Yanofskybacteria bacterium RIFCSPHIGHO2_02_FULL_43_12. RNAcentral describes it as "tRNA-Lys". It matches the Rfam family "tRNA". Rfam says of the family: Transfer RNA (tRNA) molecules are approximately 80 nucleotides in length. The record is from RNAcentral. Lineage: Bacteria; Candidatus Yanofskyibacteriota.